GAUGAACGCUAGCGGCAGGCCUAAUACAUGCAAGUCGGACGGGAUCCAUUGAUAGCUUGCUAUCAAUGGUGAGAGUGGCGCACGGGUGCGUAACGCGUGAGCAGCCUGCCUCCAUCAGGGGGAUAGCCUCUCGAAAGAGAGAUUAACACCGCAUAAUAUCAACAGUUCGCAUGUUCAGUUGAUUAAAUAUUUAUAGGAUGGAGAUGGGCUCGCGUGACAUUAGCUAGUUGGUAGGGUAACGGCUUACCAAGGCGACGAUGUCUAGGGGCUCUGAGAGGAGAAUCCCCCACACUGGUACUGAGACACAGACCAGACUCCUACGGGAGGCAGCAGUAAGGAAUAUUAGUCAAUGGGCGGAAGCCUGAACCAGCCAUGCCGCGUGCAGGAUGACUGCCCUAUGGGUUGUAAACUGCUUUUGUCCAAGAAUAGACCUAAAUACGAGUAUUUAGCUGAAUGUACUGGAAGAAUAAGGAUCGGCUAACUCCGUG
RNAcentral lists this ribosomal RNA (488 nucleotides) under uncultured bacterium. RNAcentral describes it as "partial 16S ribosomal RNA". It matches the Rfam family "Bacterial small subunit ribosomal RNA", at positions 28 to 507 of the family's 1533-position model. The record is from RNAcentral.